This 740-nucleotide ribosomal RNA is filed under the name Bacillus anthracis (anthrax bacterium). Its description in RNAcentral is "bacterial SSU rRNA". It matches the Rfam family "Bacterial small subunit ribosomal RNA", at positions 41 to 759 of the family's 1533-position model. The record is from RNAcentral. Lineage: Bacteria; Bacillati; Bacillota; Bacilli; Caryophanales; Bacillaceae.
GGCGGGUGCUAAUACAUGCAAGUCGAGCGAAUGGAUUAAGAAGCUUGCUCUUAUGAAGUUAGCGGCGGACGGGUGAGUAACACGUGGGUAACCUGCCCAUAAGACUGGGAUAACUCCGGGAAACCGGGGCUAAUACCGGAUAACAUUUUGAACCGCAUGGUUCGAAAUUGAAAGGCGGCUUCGGCUGUCACUUAUGGAUGGACCCGCGUCGCAUUAGCUAGUUGGUGAGGUAACGGCUCACCAAGGCAACGAUGCGUAGCCGACCUGAGAGGGUGAUCGGCCACACUGGGACUGAGACACGGCCCAGACUCCUACGGGAGGCAGCAGUAGGGAAUCUUCCGCAAUGGACGAAAGUCUGACGGAGCAACGCCGCGUGAGUGAUGAAGGCUUUCGGGUCGUAAAACUCUGUUGUUAGGGAAGAACAAGUGCUAGUUGAAUAAGCUGGCACCUUGACGGUACCUAACCAGAAAGCCACGGCUAACUACGUGCCAGCAGCCGCGGUAAUACGUAGGUGGCAAGCGUUAUCCGGAAUUAUUGGGCGUAAAGCGCGCGCAGGUGGUUUCUUAAGUCUGAUGUGAAAGCCCACGGCUCAACCGUGGAGGGUCAUUGGAAACUGGGAGACUUGAGUGCAGAAGAGGAAAGUGGAAUUCCAUGUGUAGCGGUGAAAUGCGUAGAGAUAUGGAGGAACACCAGUGGCGAAGGCGACUUUCUGGUCUGUAACUGACACUGAGGCGCGAAAG